Molecule: ribosomal RNA, 513 nt
Filed under: uncultured bacterium
Lineage: Bacteria
Description: partial 16S ribosomal RNA
Rfam family: Bacterial small subunit ribosomal RNA
Source: RNAcentral
AGCGAACGUUAGCGGCGGGCCUAACACAUGCAAGUCGAGCGAGAAAGGGGCUUCGGCCCUGAGUAAAGCGGCGGACGGGUGAGUAACACGUAGGUAAUCUUCCUUCGAGCGGGGGACAACGGUCCGAAAGGACCGCUAAUACCGCGUACGUUCCCGAGGACCCUGGUCCUUGGGAGGAAAGCCAGGUCGCAAGAUCCGGCACGCGGUGAGGCGCCUGCGUCGCAUCAGCUAGUUGGUGGGGUAAUGGCCUACCAAGGCGAAGACGCGUAGCUGGUCUGAGAGGAUGAUCAGCCACACUGGGACUGAGACACGGCCCAGACUCCUACGGGAGGCAGCAGUGGGGAAUAUUGGACAAUGGGCGCAAGCCUGAUCCAGCCACGCCGCGUGAGUGAUGAAGGCCUUCGGGUCGUAAAGCUCUGUGGGGAGGGACGAACCGCUGCACGUGCAUAGCGUGCAGCAUGACGGUACCUCCUUAGCAAGCACCGGCUAACUUCGUGCCAGCCGCCGCAGUAA